GGGCGGAGGAGUUCUUGUGCUGUAGUUCGAAUACUUUGGUGUCAUUGGUACCUUCAAUCUGCCAGAGCUGCAGUCCACAGACAGAGAGAGAGAGUCAGAGUGAGAGAGGGCGUUGAUAUGAGAGAGAAAAGCAGUGUGUGCGCAAAUGUGUUAGGAUGAAGAGAGAGAGAGAACUAAGGGGUGAGGUUCCCAAUGUUAAUCCAAGUCUCUGCCAACAAUGAGUCUGUCCUUUCUCACCGUCUCUCUGAUCUCCAUCCUGUGGCCCUGUCUGUCACUGGGAGCUUUGGUGACUCAGAGGCCGCGGACAGUCACAGCCAGAGAGGGGGAGACAGUGACUUUGAAUUGUCACCAGGACGAUACUGCCAGUACUGACAUUACGAUGCUCUGGUACCUCCAACCCCAUCAGGGAGGCCUCACAUUGGUCGGAUAUAACCGAUACUCAACCGAAUAUGAGGACAAGUUUAAAUCCGGCUACAACAUUACCAAGACACCUGACAACAUGAACUCCACCCUGGAGAUCACCAACAUGAACCCAACCCAGGAGGGGGUGUAUUACUGCGCUGCGAGAGAAGGGCACAGCGUGAGAGAGAGACAGAUCUCUCGUACAUAAACCUCACACAGGAUAC
Molecule: non-coding RNA, 626 nt
Organism: Callorhinchus milii (elephant shark)
Lineage: Eukaryota; Metazoa; Chordata; Chondrichthyes; Chimaeriformes; Callorhinchidae
Source: the annotation of a RefSeq genome assembly